AUUCCCUUAGUAACGGCGAGUGAAGUGGGAAGUGCUCAAAUUUAAAAUCCUGCAAAGGAGUUGUAAUUUAUAGAACGUUUUGUAUGGAAGUUGGGAUUAAAGUCUGCUGGAAAGCAUGCGCUAGAAAGGGUGAUAGCCCCGUUCAAUCCUUAACAACCUAAUUAACGAACGUCUCAAAGAGUCAGAUUGCUUGGGAAUGCAGUCUAAAUUUGGUGGUAAACUCCAUCUAAAGCUAAAUAUUGAUCAGUGACCGAUAGCAAACAAGUACCGUGAGGGAAAGAUGAAAAGAACCUUGAAAAGGGGGUUAAAAGUACGUGAAAUUGUUAUUAGGAAAGCACUUGGUUUUAUUGUGGAUUAAGUGAGUCUGUUUCGGCAGAUACUGACUUAAUUAGUCAUGAUCAGUUAGAGUUGAUUAAAAAAGGAAGUAACAAGGUAGUAUUGUAAUGAUACACUUACAGGUUACUUUUUAUUAAUUGACUCUGACUGAGGAAUGCUUUUUAAAAUAAUUUUAUGUUAAGUUUUAUGGAUUGUUGCUAAACAACAAGUUGAUUAGUACCAUGAAUUGAUCUUUAUAUAAAAUUAUUUAAAAACAGGAUCAUGAUUAAAUAAUACCAAAUGACCCAUCUU
RNAcentral lists this ribosomal RNA (627 nucleotides) under Conidiobolus sp. RNAcentral describes it as "partial large subunit ribosomal RNA". It matches the Rfam family "Eukaryotic large subunit ribosomal RNA", at positions 74 to 655 of the family's 3401-position model. Lineage: Eukaryota; Fungi; Entomophthoromycota; Entomophthoromycetes; Entomophthorales; Conidiobolaceae. The record is from RNAcentral.